This 253-nucleotide ribosomal RNA is filed under the name uncultured bacterium. Its description in RNAcentral is "partial 16S ribosomal RNA". It matches the Rfam family "Bacterial small subunit ribosomal RNA", at positions 524 to 776 of the family's 1533-position model. The record is from RNAcentral.
UACGUAGGGGGCGAGCGUUGUCCGGAGUUACUGGGCGUAAAGCGCACGCAGGCGGUCUGUUAAGUUUGGAGUGACAGUUGGUGGCUUAACUGCCAAAGUGCUUCGAAAACUGACAGACUUGAGGGCUUCAGAGGGACACGGAAUUCCGGGUGGAGUGGUGAAAUGCGUAGAGAUCCGGAGGAACACCAAAGGCGAAGGCAGUGUCCUGGGGAGUACCUGACGCUGAGGAGCGAAAGCGUGGGGAGCGAACAGG